UACGGGGGGAGCAAGCGUUGUUCGGAUUUACUGGGCGUAAAGGGCGCGUAGGCGGUCAGCACAAGUCAGUUGUGAAAUCUCCGGGCUUAACUCGGAAAGGUCAACUGAUACUGUGCGACUAGAGUGCGGAAGGGGCAACUGGAAUUCUCGGUGUAGCGGUGAAAUGCGUAGAUAUCGGAAGGAACGCCGGUGGCGAAAGCGGUCUGCUGGACCCCAUCUGACGCUGAUGCGCGAAAGCCAGGGGAGCAAACGGG
Molecule: ribosomal RNA, 254 nt
Filed under: uncultured bacterium
Lineage: Bacteria
Description: partial 16S ribosomal RNA
Rfam family: Bacterial small subunit ribosomal RNA
Source: RNAcentral